RNAcentral lists this ribosomal RNA (247 nucleotides) under uncultured bacterium. RNAcentral describes it as "partial 16S ribosomal RNA". It matches the Rfam family "Bacterial small subunit ribosomal RNA", at positions 523 to 769 of the family's 1533-position model. The record is from RNAcentral.
AUACGUAGGGUGCAAGCGUUAAUCGGAAUUACUGGGCGUAAAGCGUGCGCAGGCGGUUGUGCAAGACAGGUGUGAAAUCCCCGGGCUUAACCUGGGAACUGCACUUGUGACUGCACAGCUGGAGUGCGGCAGAGGGGGAUGGAAUUCCGCGUGUAGCAGUGAAAUGCGUAGAUAUGCGGAGGAACACCAAUGGCGAAGGCAAUCCCCUGGGCCUGUACUGACGCUCAUGCACGAAAGCGUGGGGAGC